ACAAUCCUGUGGUGUGCGUCACGCUUUAUUUUAAUCCUACAGAGUUGAUUUGGGAGCUUGGGUCUGGCGAGAACGGCCAUGCCCUCUACGGGAGGGAAGGCCAGCGGCGCCAGUAAAGCACCCCCCUGCCACGAGGCGGGAGUUAAAAUCAAAGUGAACGGCACAACGGGGACCGC
RNAcentral lists this non-coding RNA (176 nucleotides) under Luoshenia tenuis. RNAcentral's name for it is "6S / SsrS RNA". It matches the Rfam family "6S / SsrS RNA". Rfam says of the family: E. coli 6S RNA was the first non coding RNA to be sequenced, but its function was unknown until recently. Lineage: Bacteria; Bacillati; Bacillota; Clostridia; Christensenellales; Christensenellaceae. The record is from Rfam by way of RNAcentral.